RNAcentral lists this ribosomal RNA (460 nucleotides) under uncultured bacterium. RNAcentral's name for it is "partial 16S ribosomal RNA". It matches the Rfam family "Bacterial small subunit ribosomal RNA", at positions 338 to 795 of the family's 1533-position model. The record is from RNAcentral.
CCUACGGGUGGCAGCAGUGAGGAAUAUUGGUCAAUGGGCGCGAGCCUGAACCAGCCAAGUCGCGUGAGGGAGGACGGCCCUACGGGUUGUAAACCUCUUUUGCCGGGGAGCAACGGGCGUCACGUGUCGCGCCACUGAGAGUACCCGGAGAACAAGCAUCGGCUAACUCCGUGCCAGCAGCCGCGGUAAUACGGGGGAGGCGAGCGUUAUCCGGAUUUAUUGGGUUUAAAGGUUUGGUAGGCGGAUCGUUAAGUCAGUGGGAAAAUUGGGGGGCUCAACCCCUUACCGCAAUUGAAACUGGCGUGCUUGAGUGGAAGAGAAGUAUGCGGAAUGCGUGGUGUAGCGGUGAAAUGCAUAGAUAUCACGCAGAACCCCGAUGGCGAAGGCAGCAUGCCGGCUUCCGACUGACGCUGAAGCACGAAAGCGUGGGGAUCGAACAGGAUUAGAUACCCCAGUAGUC